UACGUAGGGUGCAAGCGUUGUCCGGAAUUAUUGGGCGUAAAGAGCUCGUAGGCGGUUUGUUGCGUCGGCUGUGAAAUCCCGAGGCUCAACCUCGGGUCUGCAGUCGAUACGAGCAAACUAGAGUGUUGCAGGGGAGACUGGAAUUCCUGGUGUAGCGGUGAAAUGCGCAGAUAUCAGGAGGAACACCGGUGGCGAAGGCGGCCCCCUGGGUCAAGACUGACGUUCAUGCACGAAAGCGUGGGGAGCAAACAGG
Molecule: ribosomal RNA, 253 nt
Filed under: uncultured bacterium
Lineage: Bacteria
Description: partial 16S ribosomal RNA
Rfam family: Bacterial small subunit ribosomal RNA
Source: RNAcentral